UGGCUCAGAACGAACGUUGGCGGCGUGGAUUAGGCAUGCAAGUCGAACGAGAACCGUAGCAAUACGGGGAAAGUGGCGAAAGGGGCAGUAAUGCAUGGGUAAUCUACCCCGGGGACGUGGAUAGCCAUCCUAACGGGUGGGUAAUACACGGCGAUUCGGCGGCGACGCAGGAAAGGAAUUUCGCCUCGGGAGGAGCUCAUGUCGUAUUAGCUAGUUGGUGGGGUAACGGCCUACCAAGGCGAAGAUGCGUAGCGGGUGUGAGAGCACGACCCGCGCCACUGGCACUGAGACACUGGCCAGACACCUACGGGUGGCUGCAGUCGAGGAUCUUCGGCAAUGGGCGCAAGCCUGACCGAGCGACGCCGCGUGCGGGACGAAGGCCUUCGGG
RNAcentral lists this ribosomal RNA (388 nucleotides) under uncultured Gemmataceae bacterium. RNAcentral's name for it is "bacterial SSU rRNA". It matches the Rfam family "Bacterial small subunit ribosomal RNA", at positions 20 to 422 of the family's 1533-position model. The record is from RNAcentral. Lineage: Bacteria; Pseudomonadati; Planctomycetota; Planctomycetia; Gemmatales; Gemmataceae.